UCAUGCACUUACAAAAAAUUGCCAACAGGUUGUUGCUUCGCUACUAAUACAUAAUUUCUAAUAAGUUUUUAAAAUGUGAUCCCCAUUGUUACUUUCUUUGUGGUAAAUACCACCCAAUUUAGUUAAAUGUGGCGACAGUAAUUCUUAAUUCCUAUAAAAUUUUGCAUAUGAAAAGCGCAACAUGGGGCUUUCGCUUUUAACGCGAAAUAAAUGUUGAAUUAGCUAAAUACUUCGUUUUCGACGUAUACAAUUCGUACAACUGAAAAUUUGAAUCACUAAAGAAUGUAUUAGAAAUUGUACUCAAAUGUAUUCGUGGUAAAUUUACUUAGAUCUCUCGAAUUUGAAGGGAAUACCAGCACCAACAUACAUACAUUAAGCACCUGAGAAGUGUAUCUAUACCUACAAAAACAAACCAAUUAAACACCGUUAUGACGAAUUAUUGUCGUCUGCUUUGUACUUCCAUUAAAGUUCAACACAACCGGGAAGCUAUAUUUACAUUAUCAUCUGGGACAUGUUCAAUAUCUAUGAAAGUCAUCUCACCAAACAAAAUGCUCUUUGACUGGAAAACUUGGAAAAAAGGAUACGUCGAAAAUGGAGAUCUUGUUCCGGUUAAUUAGUACCUGGCGAAGCUUGGUCCAGCUUAAACGAAACUAGGCUGUCCUGGUCCUGGUCCUGUUCUCGUCCCAAUGAGUGUAGAUUUGCUGGGUUAGAAAUUAUACCAACACCAGGAAACAAAACAAAAUUACAUAAAAUGGAAAUUUCAUAAGAUUGCAGUGUUGGUCAUUAAUUUAUUAUGAUCAUAAGAAAUGAAAAGCUGCAUUUUAAUGCAUAAUAAUGUAUAUAUAUUUUGAGAAACUGCAUUAUUGCGAUUAAUGCAACAUCAUUCAUUAAAAAGAGUUGCAAUCAUAUUGCAAAGUUUACUUUAGGAAUACAAGUGCGAAUUUUACUCCAAAUGCCCCAAAAUAAUUUUUUUUCAUUGCUUCAAACUCAUGGCCAGUGUACCCUUGCAGAUUCAUAAAUGCGUCUAUAUCGAAUCCCUUUAAGGUGUGGGGAGAAUUUUCUAGUCGUGUGCGAGGUCGCACACCAACACUCGCCAGGGAGGGGGAGGAAAGUUAGGCGAUUGCGCAACCUCAAUUUGUCCAACCUUUGCUCCUUCAUCUGCUGUUUCGAAAUUCCUGGUAUUUAAAAACUGAUUUAGUUGUGCAAAUUCCUUCAAAGGGUAUUCGCUAAUGACGAUUGAUGCAUCAAAUUCCCUCUAAAUGGCUUCAAUCUCGUACUCAAUUUCCGCCAGAAGAACAGACGUGUAUUGGUCAAGUGGUUUAGGACAUUGGCCCCCAGAAGACGGAUGAGUGCUUACCCCUACAGAAAACUCUGCCUCGGGGUACUCUGUUGAAUCAGUAAGGUAAACUGAGGUAAUUGGACAGUCAUGUACAGCGUAAGGAGUGGAGGCGCCUAGCUUGAAAUUAUUAUAUUGAAAUGGACCAUAUUUUAUGGUAUUCAGAAAUUCGUCUAUAAAAACUCAAGUAAAAGUUUCUGUACAAUCCGUAUAGUUGCCAGUCAAAUUAAAAUUUGACAAAGCUCUAAACAUUUAUUUAUUACGUACUAAUUUUCCACCACAUACAAAUAACGUCUGGUUAUGUUAAACAAAAUUCUAUCGGCUCCGUUUCCCCGCAAAUUUUAAAAAUCGGUCGUAAUUUUUAUGGAAAUAUUGAAUCCAUCGAUGAAAUAUAUUUUCAAAGUAUAUAAUGUUUUUUCCAUAAUUAAAUUUUACAUACCCUAAAACACGCAUUUCUUUUCAUAAUCAGGUAUUUUGCACUGACUUUCUCAUUGAUUGUAGGGAUGGGACUGUUUUUAAAAAAGUACUGAUCAAAUCAAACCAUUUAAUUUAGAUCGAAUAAUUUAUGUUUCGUAUUUAUUUUUCACGGCGUCCUUGUCUUGAAUAUUGAUGUUUUCAUAAUUUUGUUAAGCCGUAAAUCCGAUUAUCUUCGUACAAUGCUGAGUGCAAACUUACCUAUUCUUUCGGUUAGGUUAAAUUUACAUUUAGAUCCUUGCAUUAAUUUUUUCCAAUGUUGUUAAACAAGUUACGCAGAACGUUGAUGGGAAGAUACAUAAUUUGCAUUGAAUCUCGUGAAGUAUGAAGCAUACAUAUUAGUUCACCCAGUCACUGAAAAUGUAAAUACAAAUGUUACUAAGCUCUUAAGUGAAACAUAAAUAGAAAUACAAAACAACCAAUUAAUUAUAUUUAGCAAUAAGAAAUUAAUCAUUUCUGUAUCUAAGUAUGUGCAUGUCCAUCGGAAUUACAUUUAAAAAUGUUUCUGUGGAAUUUGUCAACUUAUGUAACACCUUUAUAUUUUUUACAUACAUAUUAUGUAUGUAAAUGAUGCAUAAAAACGAAAAAAGUCACAGAUCCAUAAAAACUGUUAAGAAAUUAGUUAAGUUAAAUUAAAAACUAUGGGAAAUAUUCUUCUAUAAAUUUAAUAAACAGAAUUAUUUAAAUAAUUUGACACAUAAUUUUAAAACGUUUAAUCAGCGUCUGUAGGUAACAUCUGUAUACUCCGUUUCGAAUUUGGAAUGUAAGAAAAAUUAUAUUAAACGUUAAAAUUCAAAAAUACACAUAAAAACACACAACGUUUUUGGCCAUUCUUCUAGGGGCCCCCAAAAUAUAGUUACGCCACUAUCUGCAAUUGGUCCAAAUGAUUUUUGAAAACGAAUCAUGCUGACCAGAAAGCUUCACGGUGGUGUUGUAGUACGGUCCCAUGAACAAAUAAUUUACUGAUGCAAUGGUUGAGGAAUCAGCAGAAGAACUAACGGAUUGAUUUCGUACCCACAUCUCUGUCCGGUUUUUCUAUACGGUCGGUACAAUAUAGAGCUCUGAGGAGCUCCUUUCGGAACCAUUAAGGUGUAGCGUAUAGAGUAAUAGCGGCCACUUGAUGUUCCAAACUUACCCGUCAACGUGAACGUGCUAAAAACUAUGACAUAAAUAUAUAUGCACAAUGUAAAAGUACGAAUAUACAUAUGAUUACAUAUGAACACCUUCUAUAAUAUAUUGAUAAAAAUCGUAACGCAAAAGUGUCCAGUGUUAUCGGAAGGCGAGUGACUGUGCCUGAAGGGUGCUUUGAAAGUUGCAUAAGUUGCAACACGCAUAUUCAUGUAAGCAAAUGCAUCAUUAGCUUAGUUCACGUUAAACGUAUAUUAUUGCAGUUUCUGCGAGAAGGUACGUCUUUACGACCAUUGGCACCGGUCAGAAUAAUUAUGAUCACAUAAUGACAACAGGAUUAUGACCAAAUUUGGUUUUAUUACGUGCGAUUAAAUCCACCCGCUUGCAAAAUAAUUUAUUCAUAUUCAACAAAUAACUUUAUCUUAGGGAAACACGCCCUUUCAAAAUCUCCUAAGGCAUCAGAGAUUUUUAAACUCGCUUUGAACUGCAGAUAAGCGUAAUUUCAAAUUAGAUAUCUACGAAUAUAGAGAUAGGCAAACUAAGUCUACAAUUGAAUUUUUAAUUGGCGAAUGUGUGGAGAUGAUCUCCUCAAUUAUUGCUUUGUUUAAUAGUACGAAGUCUAAUAAGACGCUCAAAUCCCCUGAUGGUUCUUUGUAAUUUUUCAACCAUUCGACGAGCUUUUCUUGUGUCGCGUAACCAUUUUCUUUGCCUUUGUAAGAUGGUCACUUGCCAUUUCGACCAGAUUUCUGGUUCUAUUUUUUUUAGUUAUUACCAGAUUCUCUGCAAUCUUUGGUAUUAUAUAUGGAUCUGAUAACCUAGCCAAAAUUUAUCCAUUUGGAGAUCUGAUUAGCUUCUUUAAAUUCAUUCACGAGAGGGCAAACCACACAAAAAAGGCUGUCAGAAUUUAGAGUUUCAUGUUAUCGGUGCGCACGUAAUGGGUAUAUCGCUAGUGUCCAGACAAAUUUACGGUUGGUUGCCUUAUUUUCCGCAAAAUGAAACAUAGUGUGGCGUCACCAUGGUCUCACCAUAUUCAACUAACAAAAAUUACAGAAACCAACCAUACAUUUGUCUGUACUUCUGGAAUUCGUUGCGUACUCACCGAAAUGGUGAAAUCUAAAAUUCCGACAGUCUUGGUUUUAAAACAAUUCGACCUAUGUAGUAAGGCGUUUCAUUUUUGAAUCCUAUUUGUUAACCGUAGCGAGUUCUCUGGCUGAAUACAAUGAGCAAUGGUGAUCUUAGCUAAUUAAGGACGGGUGUCUCAACUUAAUUCAUGAAUUUAUUGUUUAUACGAUCUGGUGCAGGUAAACCCCAGUCGAUAACGAUCUAGUACAAGCUCUUACGUGGAUGAAGAAUAAAAAGUUGAAAGUUAAUUGUUGUUCGUGCCUGUAAAUGCACUGCAUCAUUGAUACACUAACAUAUGAUAUAGAAAUUACAAUUUUAGGGAUAUGUAAUAAGUUGCUUUGCAAUUAUGGAAAUAUUACGAUCAAAUAUCUCGAAACCAUGAUACCGGUUACAAACAGUAGAAACUCGAGGGGCAUGAAGGAUAAUUGAGGGGGUCAAGCCAAUUAUUAGAAAACCAGCAUCAUGACAGCAGCUAGGAAGAGUAAAAAAUCAUUCAAACAUGUAUCAUUCACUGCAUCUAUAAUAAGCAUAAUACUCAAUUUAAUCUACUACACCACAAAUUUUUUUCCAUAUUUACAACCGACAAAGUAUGUAUAAGAUUGAUGGGAACAUACAAAAUUUACCACGGAAUUUCAUACAUGCAGCACGACUCGUUUAUAUUUCCUCGUUCACUAACUGAAUAUGAAAAUUCAAGUGUCAAACAAACAUACAAACUAAAAUCAACCCAAGAUUUGACUUGACAAGACUAAAUUAAAACUUAUGUAAGAGUGAGAAUUAUUCGAUUCAACAACGAAAUCCACCACUAAUUUUAGAAUUUGGUCAUGUUACUAUGGUCAGUGGCUGAUGAUUUAACUAAAUUUUUGUCGGGGCAACACUGACCAUAGUAACAUCUUAAAAUACUUGAUUCCAAAUUCUAAAAUCAGUGGUGGAUUUCGUUUCUGAAUCGAAUAAUUGUUAACUUUUAAGUUAGAACUUAAAACUUAUGCAACUAAAAUAAAACCCAUACAAACUAAAAUAAAAAUACACAAACAUGCCUAAGUUAAGGAAUUAAUUAUAUUAUAACAUAUUUACAUAUAAAUUAGGUCAAAUAUGUUUCCGUGGAUUUAUAUAGUAAGCUAAAUAAAUUUAUUUUCAAAUAGGUAUAAAAUAUUGAGGUAAUUCAUGCAGCCCUUUGCUACCAUUGUAAAAUCUGAAAGUUUUGUAAAAGGAUUUUGCAAAAAAGUCGAUCAAUUAAAAAAAUACAAGCUAAUUUUUCUCCGAAAUGCCUGUAAAAGUUUGCAAGUUUACUGAUUUCGCAUAGUUGCCAAGGACUACGUUAAUUGACUCGUUAUUCAUUUUUAAAAUACCCAAAUAAGUUAUUAUAAGUCGGAAUGAAUAUGCAAAUAUGUGCACAGAUAUAAAAAAAAUAUAUGUAUGAAUGUACACACUCGUACAUACUUUAAUAAUAAUGCUACUAAAUAAAUACGUACUUUUAGUGUCAAUAUUGUGUCAGUUUUUCCAUCGGUAAUUAAAAUAUGUCAUUACCAUGUCAGGCUAAUCAAGUUGCUAUAGGAUGCAAGUAUUCAAUAAUUUAUAACUUAUUUCAUUCACAUGUAAAAAUAAAUGAAAUAUGUACUGAAA
This is an RNA transcript of Folsomia candida, 5680 nucleotides long. RefSeq lists it as uncharacterized. The transcript has 5 exons. NCBI's taxonomy places the organism in Eukaryota, Metazoa, Arthropoda, Collembola, Entomobryomorpha, Isotomidae. The record is from RefSeq and is a predicted model, not a curated record.